Non-coding RNA from Ogataea philodendri, 72 nucleotides. The record is from the annotation of a RefSeq genome assembly. NCBI's taxonomy places the organism in Eukaryota, Fungi, Ascomycota, Pichiomycetes, Pichiales, Pichiaceae.
GAUCUUUUGGUCUAAUGGUUAAGACAUUGAUUCUUCAUAUCAAUUAUAUCGGUUCGAUUCCGAUAAAGAUUA